RNAcentral lists this transfer RNA (74 nucleotides) under Gordonia phage Phendrix. Its description in RNAcentral is "tRNA-Phe". It matches the Rfam family "tRNA". Rfam says of the family: Transfer RNA (tRNA) molecules are approximately 80 nucleotides in length. The record is from RNAcentral. Lineage: Duplodnaviria; Heunggongvirae; Uroviricota; Caudoviricetes.
GCCAAGUUAGUGAAGACGGUGAUCACGCUAGUUUGAAAAGCUAGAGACCGGGGUUCGAUUCCCCGACUUGGCAC